Unclassified non-coding RNA from Papio anubis (olive baboon), 117 nucleotides. It matches the Rfam family "Metazoan signal recognition particle RNA". From Rfam's summary of the family: The signal recognition particle (SRP) is a universally conserved ribonucleoprotein. It is involved in the co-translational targeting of proteins to membranes. The record is from Ensembl. Lineage: Eukaryota; Metazoa; Chordata; Mammalia; Primates; Cercopithecidae.
GCUGGGUGUGGUGGCUCACACCUGUAAUCCCAGCACUUUGGGAGGCUGAGGCAGGUGGAUCACUUGAGGUCAGGAGUUCAAGACCAGCCUGGCCAACAUGGUGAAACCCUGUCUCUA